UUUUUUUUUUGAGGGUGUCAUGUUUCUUUUAUGCAACGUUAGUUUAUCCCUCUAGUUUUCAGUUGCCCGUGGAAGGUUUGAGGCCACAGGUUCAUCCUCGUGCUUUGUUUACGGCCGCGACGCAACGCACCGCAGCGCAAAGCGUUUGUGUGACGCGAGGGGCACUCUGGCCAUUCUCCUGCCAGGACCCGCGCCUUGGUUCAUCGGUUGUAGUCCUGCCCACUGAUCUGCGAGUCGGCCCGCGGCCGGCUCGUCAGUUGUCAUCGAGAAGUCGUGGAGUGCGCACGCGGCGGCGAGGUGAUAUCGCCGACGGAAAAGGCAUGUCCGUUAUCAUCCACCACCAAACGGAGGAGGGAAGAAGCUGGCGUGCGGGUGAGGCGACGUCCGUGACGGCGAGAGCUCGAGACAGGGACCCAGAUGGAAGGCAGCGAGAGCGUCCACGCAGCGCCGACUUGUGUUUCUGGCACCGGGCCCGCGGGGCAGUAACUUGCGCGCCGCCCUGCUCGUGCUGGACCUGGUCUUCCCGCCGGGUCGGGUCGGGCACCGGCCGGCUCCGGUCGGUCCUGGAACUGUUCGAAAUCUUUGCCGCCUUUCCUUUGCACUAGCGUGUCCACGAUCAAUGAAUGUACCGGCGAUGACUGGAAGAUCGGCAAGGAAAAAUGUAGUGUCGGCCCCGGGCCUUCCGUCCGGUUUGUAGCGUGCGUGCGUGCGUGGAAUAACGAGGUGGCCACCGUGCAGUUGACCCCCCCCAAAAAGAAUUCUGCCAUAGUGCCAAGACGGAGGAGGAUGAUGAUUGACUGACCAAAGAAGCGGGCAGAGCAGGAGCGGGUGGGUGCGCGGCGUGGCGCUGUCGCGCCGGCGUGCUGAUCGGGUCUCCCUGCUGCCCAUGCCACGCCGGUGGAGAGCGUCGGGCUGGUGGUAACCUGGGUUCUUCGACGACGACCGGCUACGCACGUACGGUCGUAAACACGUGCCGGGCCGGUGGUUCGAUUCCGCGACGCCCGCCCACGACGUGCCCAGGUUUGCCGCGUCCAAUGUCAAAAGGGAAGGCUGCCGCAGGUCGACGGGACACUUGGCGCCGUGCUACCACUCCGACACGACACCACGCGUGGAACCACGCAGCCCUUGAGCGCCGGCGGUGCGACGGCCAGAAAGAAACGAGCGCGCGAAGCUCCUGUAGCGUUCGCCGGUUUGCCCACCGUGCGACCGGGCGCGUGCCACUCUUCCAGAGGCCGACGGCCCGAUGCGAUCUUGGCCCAGGCCCAACAGUUACCGUCAAACCCGUUGGAUCAGCUUGCAACGGCGAAUGUUUUUCAAAAAGAAAAAAGAAAAAGAAGAAGCUUGCAAUGGCGAAUACACAUACAAUCACCUCCUCGCCUCUUCACUAAUCAGCCCACUUCACACAUUCAGUAUUUCUUUGUCUAAACAAAAACACAUUCAGUAUUUCUGCAGUUGUUCAGUAUUUUUGCAGUUAUCUACGCUAAUACCUGUGGGCUGUGGUAGUACUGUUUGACAUUAUGGAAACUUGAGAAGAUCGACUCCUUUUGUCCGAUUGUUAUUAAUUGCUAAGUAGGGAAAUAUGCAACUAUUAUGCUUUGAAUCACUAAGAUUUUAGUAGUAUUUAUUUUGGAUUUGUGCAAUCACCACACUAGAUAACACAAGAGAUCGAGUUUGAGUCAGUCCACUUCAUGUAUUCGAUAUUCUUGCAUGCCUCGACGUUAAGAUAUGUGGUAGUGGCAUUUGACUCCCGAAAUCUUGAGAAGAUCGACUCCUUUUGCCGAUUGUUAAAUGCUAGACCGGGACAUACACAACUAAAUUUGGUUCAAAUCACCUAAGAUCUUGGUAUUUAUUUUCAAAAAAUCAAAGUAGAUUUUCCUGCAUCAAUGUACCGAAACAGGGAAAAAUAAUUUCCACUUUGUUUUCGAAAGCUAGUCUACGAGAGCGGCAUCUUGCAAUUUGAGGGGCUUUUUAAGAAAAUAGCCUUCAAAAAAAUACGGGUAACCAAGCAACUAUUUUCACUCAAUUAUAUGGUGGUUUUCUAUUUCCGACUCUCUGCGUUGAAGCGGCAGAGUGGCCCAACCCAUUUAGCUAGGUAUAAUGGCUUUAAUUUUGUUGUUCUUCUUUCCCAUUUUUCUGAAACUUUUCUUGUUUUGUCAAAAAUUGUGCCCAUUUUUUCACGAAGCAAUUUUCUUAAAAUUUUAUUUUUUGGGACUUCUACAAAAUGUUCACUCGUUGAAAAACAAUGUUCACAGACAUUUUAAAGGUAUUCAUGUUUCCAAAAAUGUUCUUAGAUUUUUAAACCUAACCCGCCGAUCAUCGCUUGAGUAGUGACUAAAUCAUGCUUCACAUCUAGCAAUGGCGAAUAUGAAAUCACCGCCUGUAGAGAAGAUAGAGAUCAAGAUCGAAACAGUCCACUUCAGAACUCUUUCAUGUCUCGCCAUUAAGAUCUGUGAUAGUAUCUGAAAUCCCGAAAUCUCGAGAAGACCGACUCCUUUUGUUCAAUAGUUAAUUGCAGAGUAGGGAAAUAUAACUAAAUAUGUUUCCAAGCACAUAAGAUCUUAGUAUUUAUUUUAGAAAUUAGAGGAGACUUUCCUCCAUCAAUGUAUCUAAAUAGGAAAUAUUAAUUUUCCACUUUGUUUUGGAAAGCUAAUCUAAAAUACGAGGGCCAUACCUUGCAAUUUGGGGGGCCUUUAAGAAACGGGCCUUCAAAAAUAAUAAUAAUAAAAUGUGGACAACCAAGCAAUUAUUUUCACUCAAUUAUAUAGUUGUUCCCUAUCUGUCCCUAUUUGCAAUGAAGUGUCAGGCAAUCGCACAAGACCACCGCACCGAGCCACAGAAUCAGCCGCCCCAUUUAGUCACGUCAUGCACUACUACAUGACUGUUAUUUUUUCUGCCGGUUUUCCAUGGCUUUGUUUUUUUAUUCAUUUCCACCUUUUUCUGAAUUUUUCCUGUUUCCCCAAAUUUCUUCCCAAUAUACUUUAAAAAAUGUUCUCAAAGUUUCAAAAAAUUUGUGUGGCCUUUAAAAACUGUUGAUAUCUUUAAAGACAACGUUGACAUACGUUUUAAACACAUUCAAGUUCUUCAGAAUGUUCUUAAUUUUUUUGAACAAACCCAUCGAUUAUCAUCAGAGUGGCAACUAAACCAUGCUUCACAUUUUGCAACGGCGAAUAUGCAGUCAACCCCCUAGACAACAAAAAGAUCGAGAUUGAAUUAGUCCACUCCAGAAUUUUUGCAUGUCUCGCCAUUAAGAUAUGUGAUAUUAUUUGAUAUCCUGAAAUCUCGAGAAGAUUGACUCCUAUUGGUUGAUUGUUAAUUGGUAAGUAGGGUAAUAUACAACUAAUUGUGCUUUGAAGAACCUAAGAUCUUAGUAUUUAUUUUCAAUAUCAGAAGAAAUUUGCCUCCACCAAUGUAUUGAAGUAGGAAAAAUUAAUUUCCCACUUUAUUUUGGAAAGGUAAUCUAAAAUAGAAGGGGCGUAUCUUGCAAUUUGAGGGCCCCUUAAGAGAUGCAAUGUGGGCCUCCAAAAAAUAAAAAAUGCGGAAAGCCAAGCAUGUUUUUUCACUCAACCAUAUGAUUUUCUCAUCCUAGAAAACAUGACGAAAAAUGAGGAAAGAAACACAUUCUUUUUUGUUUGAGGAACAUAGUAAAGAUGCAGACCCUCGGUACAUGAAUUUUAUACCUAGCAAAACAACAAUAAGAGGAAAUAAACGCCAUCCUACCGCACGACUUACAAUACAUUGAAUCUAGUUAGGCCAGACUCCAUGGCACAAAAUUAGAGGACGUUGGGCAGGAUCCAUCCAUCCUUGAUUCUUUUGUUAAGUGGAUUUGCAGAUGCGGAGGCCUGGGUUCAAUCAUCCUUUAUCCAAAGAAAAUGUAGGGUUUGAGAAUUUGCAUUACAUGACCGACAGGCCAUUUUGAUUCGCGUGAUUCCAAUGGCGAGAGAAAACAAAAGGAGAUUGCAAACCAUGCUCGCUCAUAUCCUAUAGGAUUUUGUUUGCACCAAAGUCUGAUUGCAAUACACGCAACAAAAAACACUUUCCGAAAGGUUUCAGUAGAUAGAAAAUUUUCUUAUGAAAUAUAGUACAAAAUAUCUUAGGACAUUUCUUAUAGUACUCAAUCCUAACAAGCCAUGUAGAAAACAUUUCCAAGGAACCCAAUCCUCCAUAAUUCAUAAAAAAAUGCUUUGAAUCUAAGAGGCCUAAGAUAUUAAGACGACCAACUUAGUUGAAAGAAUGCUCAAGGUGCCAAUCAAUCUAUUUGCCAAAAAAACGUGCCAAUCAAUCGAAUCCCACAAGUCAAGUGAGAUAAAGAUGAAAAAAGAACCUAGAAAACAAAACCGAGGAGACUGUAAGAAGACAGAACAUUUUUUUAGGAUGAAGAGGUCAAGAAGAGAAAAGUCUUGCCCAUAAGAAGCAGGUGUAAAAGUGAACCGUACAACAUCUGCGCAGUUACGGUGGCAAUCUUUUUCUAAUGGAAGCCUGCGUGAGUAAAUGCUGGCAAGAAGCAUGUCAUAAACGGCAUUCAGAGGGCCAGUGACGCCUGAGCUCAUUGGGCGCACAAGAUCGCCAAGUACAAUUGUCAGCCAUGGGCAGUCUGACCCUGUCACGAAGUUAGGGACACCAUAAAAGUCAGCCACUGCCUAGCUUUGCCAUGGCGAUCAUGGAGACGCAGUGCAACAGUGACAGUUUGGUGCCUGAAGGCUGGUGUCCUUGCUAAACCCAAAUAAGCAACACAUGAGCGUCAUACUGUGGCACUUAAAUUAUACUGUAAGUGCAAAGCUGAACCCAAAUACAGAUUCUCAAAAAAUUGCAUUUUAAAAUAUUUAGCUGAGAGAGAGAGAGAGAGAGAGAGAGAGAGAGAGAGAGAGAGAGAGAGAGAGAUCAGUUGUCAGGUUUAAGCAGUCGCUUUCAGCGAUGAGUAGCGAGUAGGCAGACCAGGAUAAUGAUUGGGAGAUCAUGCGGUUUGGACGCAUUACCCAACACAACCUCUUUCUUUGCAAGUCUUUACUUUCUAUUUAACCAGCCUGCGUCAUGUGCUAGCCAGGAGCAGGACAUCAGCACACCAUUCUCUCAAGUUUCAGCAUGGAUGUCUGAAUCACUUACAUGGCAGUCAAAUGGCCCUGACUUGGGCUUGCUGCUAACCUUACCUUAACCUGGGUUUAGUUUGCUGAUAACCUUACCUUUGCUCAACUGAAUCUGGAAAUAUUGGCAAAGUGUUCCUCCUAACUGAUUUUGGCCGGCCUAUUUCUGCAUCUCUGUCUCCAUGCUGAGUUUGAGUGUAAGCAGCAGCAGCACGGCCAAAUGCUGUUUAGAUAAAAAACAAGGGAGAUUAGUGUACUCAUGCUACCAAACUGAUUUUGGCCAGCCCAUUUCUCCAUCUCUGUCUUCAUGCUGAGUUUGAGUGUGAGCAGCAGCACUUCCAAAUGAUUAUCCAAAAGCUGUUUAGAUAAAAACAAGGGAGAUUAGUGUACUGAUGCUACCAAACUGAAUAGUUUUUUACUUUCUGUACUGGUGCUACCAAACUGACCUAGGGAGGGGCAGUUUCUUGCUUUCCGUCCGAUGGAGACGAGCAAGUGCUGCUGGACAUAUCUGGAAUGUGGUGGUUGUGGCAAGAACUAAUCACUGAACAUAUAAACAGAGCAGAGUAUGCAUGGCUCCAAAAAAAGAAAAGAACGCAAUGCAGAGAGUUCAGAUCAAGAUGGAGAAAUGCUUCAGGAAAACUAAGGAUGCAACAACAAAAAAGGAUAUAAAUUGACGACUGUGACUGACAUGAAAAGUUGAUGAAGAUUCUACAAUAGUCCCCAUUUCUGCCGGCCUGCAACCAAGAUCUGAGGUUCUUCUGCAGCACAACUGGCUUCGACGCUCAACAACAGAUACAGGACCAGCACAGGAGAAAUCCUUGAACCAUAUCCCGAUGAUAAACCAAUAAAACACCCCCAACAUACACUGUAUUAGGGUUUGACUGACUCACAUUACAUGAUACACGAUCAAUUGCCAAAGCAUUGACGAACUAAAACUAUUCAACCCUGAAUCUAUCUAUCGACUCUCAUGACAUGACGCACUUCGACUUCAACCUCAACUCUGAUGAUGAACCAUCUCUUGCUCGACCCACAAUUCCCGGCAGGAAAUCCAUCUCUUGCUCCGAAUCGCGACUCCUCAG
Molecule: long non-coding RNA, 6157 nt
Filed under: Triticum aestivum (bread wheat)
Lineage: Eukaryota; Viridiplantae; Streptophyta; Magnoliopsida; Poales; Poaceae
Description: long non-coding RNA (TAES_LNC026240)
Source: RNAcentral